CAACCGGGGAGGGUCAUUGGAAACUGGGAGACUUGAGUGCAGAAGAGGAGAGUGGAAUUCCAUGUGUAGCGGUGAAAUGCGUAGAUAUAUGGAGGAACACCAGUGGCGAAGGCGGCUCUCUGGUCUGUAACUGACGCUGAGGCUCGAAAGCGUGGGGAGCGAACAGGAUUAGAUACCCUGGUAGUCCACGCCGUAAACGAUGAGUGCUAAGUGUUGGAGGGUUUCCGCCCUUCAGUGCUGCAGCAAACGCAUUAAGCACUCCGCCUGGGGAGUACGACCGCAAGGUUGAAACUCAAAGGAAUUGACGGGGGCCCGCACAAGCGGUGGAGCAUGUGGUUUAAUUCGAAGCAACGCGAAGAACCUUACCAGGUCUUGACAUCCUUUGACCACUCUAGAGAUAGAGCUUCCCCUUCGGGGGCAAAGUGACAGGUGGUGCAUGGUUGUCGUCAGCUCGUGUCGUGAGAUGUUGGGUUAAGUCCCGCAACGAGCGCAACCCUUAUUGUUAGUUGCCAUCAUUUAGUUGGGCACUCUAGCGAGACUGCCGGUGACAAACCGGAGGAAGGUGGGGAUGACGUCAAAUCAUCAUGCCCCUUAUGACCUGGGCUACACACGUGCUACAAUGGGAAGUACAACGAGUUGCGAAGUCGCGAGGCUAAGCUAAUCUCUUAAAGCUUCUCUCAGUUCGGAUUGUAGGCUGCAACUCGCCUACAUGAAGCCGGAAUCGCUAGUAAUCGCGGAUCAGCACGCCGCGGUGAAUACGUUCCCGGGCCUUGUACACACCGCCCGUCACACCACGAGAGUUUGUAACACCCGAAGUCGGUGAGGUAACC
RNAcentral lists this ribosomal RNA (830 nucleotides) under Enterococcus sp. M9. Its description in RNAcentral is "bacterial SSU rRNA". It matches the Rfam family "Bacterial small subunit ribosomal RNA", at positions 610 to 1440 of the family's 1533-position model. The record is from RNAcentral. Lineage: Bacteria; Bacillati; Bacillota; Bacilli; Lactobacillales; Enterococcaceae.